This 603-nucleotide long non-coding RNA is filed under the name Mytilus galloprovincialis (Mediterranean mussel). The record is from RNAcentral. Lineage: Eukaryota; Metazoa; Mollusca; Bivalvia; Mytilida; Mytilidae.
AUGAAAGGAAUGGACAGUGCUAACAGAGACAUAUAAUACAUGUCUCGGGUGCUGAAAAGUUCAUUUCUAAAUUAUAUAAGGGAAGUUUUACCCCCUUCUCUGACAACGUUGUCUCGACCAUUUUUUGAACCAUCUACGAUUAUAUCAUUACUUUUUUUUGCGUUUACAACCGAACUGUCGAACCUGUAUUGCUUGAAAGAAGCAUCCCUGUUAUCAAGGGAUUCAUUAUAAGCCCGUAUUUUACGAUUACUUGACCAUACAUGGCUCUUUUUCAAAUGGAUAAGGGAAUAAAACAAAACGAAAAUUUUGUGUAAAUAUAUAUAAAAUAUCGAUAUUUGUCAACCAAUCAUCAAUAUAUCUUAAUUAAAUAUUGCUUUAAAUUUAAUGUAAACAGAGGAUGGCUUGGAUAAGGAAUAGUAUUUAAUGCUAAAAAAGACACAGGUGUAAACAGGAAGUUAUGUCAGCCAGUAAGGGAGAUAAUUUGGGAGGGAAAGACCUAAAAGAAGUAUUGUCAAUCUUGACAAACUUAUCUGGUGGCAUGUAUUCAAAUGUUUAUAAAAUUAUCAAACAAACCUUUAAAGGUGGUAGUUGUUUCAAUUGGCA